GAUGAACGCUGGCGGCGUGCCUAAUACAUGCAAGUCGAGCGAACAGACGAGGAGCUUGCUCCUCUGACGUUAGCGGCGGACGGGUGAGUAACACGUGGAUAACCUACCUAUAAGACUGGGAUAACUUCGGGAAACCGGAGCUAAUACCGGAUAAUAUAUUGAACCGCAUGGUUCAAUAGUGAAAGACGGUUUUGCUGUCACUUAUAGAUGGAUCCGCGCCGCAUUAGCUAGUUGGUAAGGUAACGGCUUACCAAGGCAACGAUGCGUAGCCGACCUGAGAGGGUGAUCGGCCACACUAGAACUGAGACACGGUCCAGAAUCCUACGAGAGGCAGCAGUAGGGAAUCUUCCGCAAUGGGAGAAAACCUGACGGAGCAAAGCCGAGUGAGUGAUGAAGAUCUUCGGAUCGUAAACCUCUGUUAUUAGGGAAGAAAAAAUGUGUAAGUAACUAUGAACGUCUUGACGGUACCUAAUCAGAAAGCCACGGCUAACUACGUG
This 497-nucleotide ribosomal RNA is filed under the name uncultured bacterium. RNAcentral's name for it is "partial 16S ribosomal RNA". It matches the Rfam family "Bacterial small subunit ribosomal RNA", at positions 28 to 507 of the family's 1533-position model. The record is from RNAcentral.